RNAcentral lists this ribosomal RNA (483 nucleotides) under uncultured bacterium. RNAcentral's name for it is "partial 16S ribosomal RNA". It matches the Rfam family "Bacterial small subunit ribosomal RNA", at positions 29 to 523 of the family's 1533-position model. The record is from RNAcentral.
AGUGAACGCUGCGGCGUGCUUAACACAUGCAAGUCGAACGAGAACGGAUUAUAGCUUGCUAUAAUUGUCAGCUAAGUGGCGCACGGGUGAGUAAUGUAUAGGUAAUAUGCCUCUUACUAAGGGAUAACAAAUGGAAACGUUUGCUAAUACCUUAUACUCCUUAUUAACAUAAGUUAAUAAGGGAAAGAUUUAUUGGUAAGAGAUUAGCCUGUAUUGUAUCAGUUAGUUGGUGGGGUAAUGGCUUACCAAGACUAUGACACAUGACUGGUUUGAGAGGAUGAUCAGUCACACUGGAACUGAGACACGGUCCAGACUCCUACGGGAGGCAGCAGUGGGGAAUAUUGCACAAUGGACGAAAGUCUGAUGCAGCAACGCCGCGUGGAGGAUGACACAUUUCGGUGCGUAAACUCCUUUUAUAUGAGAAGAUAAUGACGGUAUUAUAUGAAUAAGCACCGGCUAACUCCGUGCCAGCCGCCGCCGUAA